UACGUAGGGGGCUAGCGUUGUCCGGAAUCAUUGGGCGUAAAGAGCGUGUAGGCGGCCCGGUAAGUCCGCUGUAAAAGUCAAAGGCUCAACCUUUGAAUGUCAGUGGAUACUGCCGGGCUAGAGUCCGGAAGAGGCGAGUGGAACUCCUGGUGUAGCGGUGGAAUGCGUAGAUAUCGGGAGGAACACCAGUGGCGAAGGCGACUUCCUGGCCUGUUCUUGACGCUGAGGCGCGAAAGCUAGGGUAGCAAACGGG
Molecule: ribosomal RNA, 253 nt
Filed under: uncultured bacterium
Lineage: Bacteria
Description: partial 16S ribosomal RNA
Rfam family: Bacterial small subunit ribosomal RNA
Source: RNAcentral